Long non-coding RNA from Gouania willdenowi (blunt-snouted clingfish), 1553 nucleotides. Ensembl lists it as uncharacterized. The record is from Ensembl. Lineage: Eukaryota; Metazoa; Chordata; Actinopteri; Blenniiformes; Gobiesocidae.
UAUAGAUGGUCCUGUGUCCACAUGACUGUUCAUGUCUGUGUUCAACCACCUUCAGCUACAGUGGGGGUCCCCGCUCUCUGGGACCUUUAUUUUGGGGGUCACGUGCUGAAAAGGCUGAGAACCACUGCUCUAAAGGGCCGGAUUUGGCCCCUGAACCUUGAGUUUGACACGUGCAAAGACGCUUCAAUUCUACAUUCUUUCUUUUGCUUUUAUUUUGAAAGCCAAGGAUGCUGGGAACGUGCGCGCUCCCGACACUUUGCAACUGCAAAGAAAGCCGUUGGCUCUGACGUCACACACGCACACGCACGCACGCAGCCCGAGCAUCAUGAGAAGAAUCCCCGCGUGCUGCCGCGUCCCGUGCUUUGAACCCGAAAACCCCCCCCCCGCGUGCCCGGCUAGGAUGCGUUUAAGCAGGUCUAUGUGAAGUUCAGGUCAAAGGUCAUGCUGCGGAGGGAGUGUGACCUGUUUACGCCCAGAGACGUGUCUGAGGAUGACUGUGAGGUGGGAGCGAGCUGUGCAGACGUGUGUGCGUGUGAGGCCGGACCGUGCACACUUUACUCAGAGGCGCACACGCCCACGCCGGAAACACGGCUGUGUGAACACUGUGGGAAACACAGAGCCAUGAUAACCAGGUACUCAGAGGGAUACGGAACAGAGGAGGAGUGUGUGUUCUCUGACCCUCAGGGGGAAAGUGAUGCAGACGCAGACAUUGAGGACACAGACUGCAGACUCCACGAGCCCGGUUCUCUUCAGCGGAUAAGCUCGCGGCGACGAAAGCGGCCGCAGGUUGCCCGCCAGGACACUACGGAGAGUGAAGACGAUGGUGGGCGGAGUCACAGGUCGCAUCGCUGGAACCUCAGGCUGAGUCCUGACCGAGCCCACAGUCGGACCAUCCUGGAGGAGAGCAUAUCACAGGUCCGCCCUCUGGUCAUCUGCCGGCCGAGCGUUCAGCCAGACUCCACUGCAGUCAAACCUCCACCACGAUCCAAACUCAAGUCUCUGUGGCCGCCGUUGCUUCCUCUCGCACUCGUGCUCUUCCUCUCUCUUCCUCUGUCUCUCUCCCUCCUCAUCCUCAUCGUGUCCUUCCUCCUGCCCUGGACCACGGCCUGACCCCAACAUUCCUGACAGAGGAGAAAAUGAUGGACUCAAUAAUCAGCAGACAUCAGAUAUGACAUCAGAUUUUAUAGUUUGGGGUAGUUGAAGGUACAUUUCCAUUACAGAAACUUUCCCCAGGUCUUGCCAAGCAUUGUUUUGGUUUGGAGUAAGAACUUUUAAAAAGACCAGGUCAUUGGAGGGGCAGGGUUUGCAGAGCGGAAGUCUGACUGGAUGAAAAGUUGUCUCUCAUAAAUAUUGCUAAUAUAUCUACACAAUGGGGGCUUUAACCAACAUGGAGAAUGACCGUUGGAUUGACAGAGGUCAGACAUACUCCUCCCUAGUUUGGUUGUGGAUGAAGUCAGGCACAUUGUUUUGGCUAUAGUUUUUUAAGUCACAGGAAAACAUCCGAUACAAUAGUUUCCAGGUAGAAAAUAAAUCUGUACUAAAUGUUUCUAACA